This 473-nucleotide ribosomal RNA is filed under the name Centipeda noxia. RNAcentral's name for it is "bacterial SSU rRNA". It matches the Rfam family "Bacterial small subunit ribosomal RNA", at positions 28 to 474 of the family's 1533-position model. The record is from RNAcentral. Lineage: Bacteria; Bacillati; Bacillota; Negativicutes; Selenomonadales; Selenomonadaceae.
GACGAACGCUGGCGGCGUGCUUAACACAUGCAAGUCGAACGGAGCGAAUGAAAGCUUGCUUUUAUAAGCUUAGUGGCAAACGGGUGAGUAACACGUAGGCAACCUGCCGACAGGAUGGGGACAACAUUCCGAAAGGAAUGCUAAUACCGAAUGAAGCGGAGGAGAGGCAUCUCCCCUCCGUGAAAGAUGGCCUCUUUUUAUGCUAUCACCUGUCGAUGGGCCUGCGUCUGAUUAGCUGGUAGGUGAGGUAACGGCUCACCUAGGCGACGAUCAGUAGCCGGUCUGAGAGGAUGAACGGCCACAUUGGGACUGAGACACGGCCCAGACUCCUACGGGAGGCAGCAGUGGGGAAUCUUCCGCAAUGGGCGCAAGCCUGACGGAGCAACGCCGCGUGAGUGAAGAAGGUCUUCGGAUCGUAAAGCUCUGUUGAUGGGGACGAACGUGCCUAAUGCGAAUAGUUUUAGGCAAUGACG